AGACCCGAAACCCGGUGAUCUAGCCAUGGGCAGGUUGAAGGUUGGGUAACACUAACUGGAGGACCGAACCGACUAAUGUUGAAAAAUUAGCGGAUGACCUGUGGCUGGGGGUGAAAGGCCAAUCAAACCGGGAGAUAGCUGGUUCUCCCCGAAAGCUAUUUAGGUAGCGCCUCGUGAAUUCAUCUCCGGGGGUAGAGCACUGUUUCGGCUAGGGGGCCAUCCCGGCUUACCAACCCGAUGCAAACUGCGAAUACCGGAGAAUGUUAUCACGGGAGACACACGGCGGGUGCUAACGUCCGUCGUGAAGAGGGAAACAACCCAGACCGCCAGCUAAGGUCCCAAAGUCAUGGUUAAGUGGGAAACGAUGUGGGAAGGCCCAGACAGCCAGGAUGUUGGCUUAGAAGCAGCCAUCAUUUAAAGAAAGCGUAAUAGCUCACUGGUCGAGUCGGCCUGCGCGGAAGAUGUAACGGGGCUAAACCAUGCACCGAAGCUGCGGCAGCGACGCUUAUGCGUUGUUGGGUAGGGGAGCGUUCUGUAAGCCUGUGAAGGUGGCCUGUGAGGGUUGCUGGAGGUAUCAGAAGUGCGAAUGCUGACAUAAGUAACGAUAAAGCGGGUGAAAAGCCCGCUCGCCGGAAGACCAAGGGUUCCUGUCCAACGUUAAUCGGGGCAGGGUGAGUCGACCCCUAAGGCGAGGCCGAAAGGCGU
This 705-nucleotide ribosomal RNA is filed under the name Salmonella enterica subsp. enterica serovar Weltevreden. Its description in RNAcentral is "partial 23S ribosomal RNA". It matches the Rfam family "Bacterial large subunit ribosomal RNA", at positions 711 to 1412 of the family's 2925-position model. The record is from RNAcentral. Lineage: Bacteria; Pseudomonadati; Pseudomonadota; Gammaproteobacteria; Enterobacterales; Enterobacteriaceae.